ACUCAAAGGAAUAGACGGGGACCCGCACAAGCAGCGGAGCAUGUGGUUUAAUUCGACGCUACGCGAAGAACCUUACCAAGGCUUGACAUCCCCUGACAGCCGUAGAAAUACGGUUUCCCAGCAAUGGGCAGGGAGACAGGUGGUGCAUGGUUGUCGUCAGCUCGUGUCGUGAGAUGUUCGGUUAAGUCCGGCAACGAGCGCAACCCUUAUGGUAUGUUGCCAAUAUCAAGUUAGGAACUCAUACCAGACUGCCGCGGACAACGCGGAGGAAGGCGGGGACGACGUCAAAUCAUCAUGCCCCUUACGUCUUGGGCCACACACGUGCUACAAUGGGCGCUACAAAGGGCAGCGGAGCCGCAAGGCCGAGCGAAUCCCAAAAAAGCGCUCUCAGUUCAGAUUGUGGGCUGCAACCCGCCCACAUGAAGCUGGAGUUGCUAGUAAUCCCGGAUCAGCAUGCCGGGGUGAAUGCGUUCCCGGGUCUUGUACACACCGCCCGU
Molecule: ribosomal RNA, 497 nt
Filed under: uncultured bacterium
Lineage: Bacteria
Description: bacterial SSU rRNA
Rfam family: Bacterial small subunit ribosomal RNA
Source: RNAcentral